CGGGGUUUUGAGGGCGAGAUGAGUUUGUGUUUUAUCCAACUGGCCCACAAAGUCCCGCU
RNAcentral lists this microRNA precursor (59 nucleotides) under Ornithorhynchus anatinus (platypus). Its description in RNAcentral is "Oan-Mir-193-P1a_pre stem-loop". It matches the Rfam family "mir-193 microRNA precursor family", at positions 10 to 67 of the family's 76-position model. Lineage: Eukaryota; Metazoa; Chordata; Mammalia; Monotremata; Ornithorhynchidae. RNAcentral also lists the same sequence under 2 other names. The record is from RNAcentral.